This 356-nucleotide ribosomal RNA is filed under the name uncultured bacterium. RNAcentral's name for it is "partial 16S ribosomal RNA". It matches the Rfam family "Bacterial small subunit ribosomal RNA", at positions 338 to 691 of the family's 1533-position model. The record is from RNAcentral.
CCUACGGGUGGCAGCAGGGAGGAAUAUUGGGCAAUGGACGCAAGUCUGAACCAGCCAGGCCGCGUGCAGGAAGACGGCGCGAUGAGUUGUAAACUGCUGUUGUACGAGGGGAAAAGCAGAUACGCGUAGCGGUCUGAAAGUAUCGUACGAAAAAGGAUCGGCUAACUCCGUGCCAGCAGCAGCGGUAAUACGGAGGAUGCAAGCGUUAUCCGGAUUUAGUGGGUUUAAAGGGUGCGUAGGCGGUCGGAUAAGUGAGAGGUGAAAUCCCGAGGCUCAACCUCGGAGUUGCCUCUGAUACUGUUCGGCUCUAGCGUAGUUGCAGUCUGCGGAAUGUCUGGUGUAGCGGUGCAAUGCUU